Molecule: unclassified non-coding RNA, 467 nt
Filed under: Hevea brasiliensis (rubber tree)
Lineage: Eukaryota; Viridiplantae; Streptophyta; Magnoliopsida; Malpighiales; Euphorbiaceae
Source: RNAcentral
GCUGGGUCGCGAUCCUCAGGCAAGAACUCGUUCAAAAUCUUGAAUCGAUCUGAGACCUUAGCCAUUGGCUUUCCAACAUUUCUCACUAUAAAGGAAUCCUCAGUGAUCAAACUCUGUUGCACAAUGUCUUUGCACCCCUUACCUAAAUCCAACAACAUUUCCCCCCACGAUUUCAAAAACCCUGUCACCUGCUCCUUCAAACUUUCUGUUUUGACUUCUUCCUCGUCGACAAAUCCCGACUUCUUGAACGCCGGAGCCGAAAACCCGAUAGAUUCCCCGGCGGCAGCACCAGCAUAUCUUAUCCCGGUGUCCGCUACCAGACUCGCAAGCUCCUCCGUCCACGUGUUCCCUCCUCUCAGCUCCGCCAUUCUCGCUGAAACCAAGGUUCAGUCCACUUAGAAGCGUGAAUUUCAAUUCAGAAUUGGUUGAUCCAAAAAGGAAAACCCUAACCGACCAUUGUUAAAACG